This is a non-coding RNA of Mycena rebaudengoi, 84 nucleotides long. The record is from the annotation of a GenBank genome assembly. NCBI's taxonomy places the organism in Eukaryota, Fungi, Basidiomycota, Agaricomycetes, Agaricales, Mycenaceae.
GGCUGGAUGGCCGAGUGGUCUAAGGCGUUGGAUUUAAGUCCCAAUGGGAGCAAUCCCGCGCGAGUUCGAACCUCGCUUCAGCCA